RNAcentral lists this ribosomal RNA (1009 nucleotides) under uncultured Rhizophagus. RNAcentral's name for it is "eukaryotic LSU rRNA". The stretch from base 1 to 241 matches the Rfam family "Eukaryotic small subunit ribosomal RNA", at positions 1593 to 1831 of the family's 1831-position model. The record is from RNAcentral. Lineage: Eukaryota; Fungi; Glomeromycota; Glomeromycetes; Glomerales; Glomeraceae.
UUGUUCUUCAACGAGGAAUCCCUAGUAAGCACAAGUCAUCAGCUUGUGCUGAUUACGUCCCUGCCCUUUGUACACACCGCCCGUCGCUACUACCGAUUGAAUGGCUUAGUGAGGCCUUCGGAUUGAGAUUUGGAGGCUGGUAACAGACUCCGGAUUUUGAGAAGUUGGUCAAACUUGGUCAUUUAGAGGAAGUAAAAGUCGUAACAAGGUUUCCGUAGGUGAACCUGCGGAAGGAUCAUUACCGAUAUUAGCGAACCUGAUCUUUUGGGUCAUGGUCUCGCGAAAACUUGUAUUUAAAACCCCACUCUUAAUAUAGAUGAAUAAUGAAUCAUUAUUAUAUGUAAAAUAAAUAAAGAUCACUUUCAACAACGGAUCUCUUGGCUCUCGCAUCGAUGAAGAACGUAGCGAAGUGCGAUAAGUAAUGUGAGUUGCAGAUUCCGUGAAUCAUCGAAUCUUUGAACGCAAAUUGCACUCCUUGGUAUCCCGGGGAGUAUGCCUGUUUGAGGGUCAGUAUAAUUAAAAUCGAAGCGUUGCCUCUUUUUCAGUGACGUCUUCGGAGUUGGGUUAUCUUAACUAUAUUUCAUGUUAAGAGGCUUAAAAUUGAUAUCAUUUUUUUUUGCGCAUUUUAAGACGUACAUAAAUUAUUUUUAUUCGUCUAUCAUGAUGGCAAAAAAAAAUUUAUUAGAUGCGACCAUGUUGAUAGUGGGUUCGUGUCUAUAAAUUUCUCAUGAUUUGACCUCAAAUCAGUAGGAGUACCCGCUGAACUUAAGCAUAUCAAUAAGCGGAGGAAAAGAAAUACAAUGAUUCCCCCAGUAACUGCGAGUGAAGAGGGACAAGCUCAAAUUUUAAAUCUGUCGGUUUCACCUGACCGAGUUGUAUUUGAGAGCGUUUCUUGUGUUUCUGUCAGUCAGGUCCUUGGAUAGGGCCAUCAUGAAGGUGAGAUUCCGUCGAUGAUUCGGAUUCGCUUUGUGAUACGUCAUCAGAGUUCAAGUGUCGGAUUGCAGCUUAA